UAAAUUAAAACUUUCAACAACGGAUCUCUUGGCUCUGGCAUCGAUGAAGAACGCAGCGAAAUGCGAUAAGUAAUGUGAAUUGCAGAAUCCAGUGAAUCAUCGAAUCUUUGAACGCACAUUGCGCCCGCCAGCAUUCUGGCGGGCAUGCCUGUUCGAGC
This 158-nucleotide ribosomal RNA is filed under the name Beauveria bassiana. RNAcentral's name for it is "5.8S ribosomal RNA". It matches the Rfam family "5.8S ribosomal RNA". Rfam says of the family: 5.8S ribosomal RNA (5.8S rRNA) is a component of the large subunit of the eukaryotic ribosome. It is transcribed by RNA polymerase I as part of the 45S precursor that also contains 18S and 28S rRNA. Functionally, it is thought that 5.8S rRNA may be involved in ribosome translocation. The record is from RNAcentral. Lineage: Eukaryota; Fungi; Ascomycota; Sordariomycetes; Hypocreales; Cordycipitaceae.